UUUUUUUUUUUUUUUUUUAUCAAAAGCACCGGAACCCAAACGGGGCCUUAGUAACUACCAAAUUUUCUGAAUGACUUCAAGAACCUAAUCAUCUUAUCAUACACGUCUUCCUUUGAUCUUACACUCAGGAGGAAGUCUAUGUGACCGUAUUCCUCAAGAAAAAGCACCUCUGGCUGUCUUUUUAGUUCCUUCAGCGUGCGCUGCACAUCAGUAACGUCAGCUAAUGAAUCGUUACCCCCAUAAGCCAUCCACAAUGGUAAAGAAUUCGGAAUGCUGCUAACAUCAAAUGCUGGAGGCCAAAACCGUCCAUAGCGUAUCAGGUUCUUAAAGAUUCCAUAAUCAUACUUUCUGAAAGUACCUUCACGGAUCACUGGAAAAAAAACACAAUUCAAUGGGUAGGAACUAGGAGAGUAAGAGCGAAUGUAUGAGAAAAAAUGAGGAAAAAAGCUACACAGACUUAGCCUGAUAUAGCAAGUUUGAAUAACUUCAGCAAACCAAAAGGCCAAAGACAAUGAUAUCCUGCUAGUGCAUACUUUGAAAAAGAUGAUUCAGAUUCUUUGAGGAUGUAGGUUGUGGUUCAUAUUCGAGAUAGAAAUUGAUCCGGGAGUUGUUGAAGCAACAGUUCUUUCCUGAAAGGUUAAUCCACCAUUUAAUAAGAUACAGAUGGCAAUAUAAUAGUUUAACCAUUCUAAACACUCGAAUAAUUACUUCCCAACUUGCUCUACAGUGCUAGAUUGCUAGCAGAAAAGCAAAGCAGAAAAGUUUGUCAUGAAAGGAAUUUUUUUUUUAAAGGCCAAAUAACAGAACAUGAAUAAGGACCUGUAACCGGAGUAAGCAACUCAUUGCAAUUCACAUAUUCACUGCAUAAUAUGUCCAUCAUAUGGGUGCUGCAGUCACUGAAUAGAUAACAGAACAGAAAGGAUUAUAUAAACCGAAGAUAUGUGGAAACCUGACCGAAAGAAAGAGCCAAAAUUAAUAAGACCUUUUGAAAUUAAGUUCAUGAAUGCCCAUCACACAUAACACCUGCUUAGAGAAAAAUGACAACUUAAGCACACUGACAAAUAAGCCCUGAUGGGAAUGCUCAAAAAGAAACCACACAAACCUCAUCAAUAUGCAUUUUCACUAAUCUUAGGACAAAAGACGAACUUAUAUGAUCCAAAUAUGAGAUAGGAGAAAGAAGCGCAGCAGCUUCAACCAUUGAUACUAUAUGUGGUUGAGUAAAAGCAGCCAGAGACAUUAUUGUUCCCUGCAAAAUAAAGCAAAGGACAUCGAAUAUCAGAAAAACAAAAACCAACAACCAAAUGAAGAUAUAACAUAUAGUUCUCAAGAGAUUCAAGACCUGUGAAUGACCAACAAUAAAUAUUUUUGAGUUGGUGAUGUUAUAAAUAUAACGAGCCAUUCCUUCCAGAUCAUACAGAGCCAAUUCCUGCCAACUCCAAUCCCAAAAAUCCUAAAAACCAAGAGAAGAAACCAUUAAAGCAAGAGGGUUCAUAAAGCACAUCUAGUUUAUGCAAAAAGAAUAUUUUUGCUGCAUCCCAAAUCAGGACAAGACCAUGCAGAAGUAACUUGUGAAAUAAAUUCUACACAUAGAGGGGGGAUGGUGGUCCACCACUCCUGCUCUUCCGAGCAUUAACCAUUUGAUGGCUACGACUUCAAAGCAAUUCAUAUUUAUACCUUGCUUUUACCUGAGUAAUCAAAUCAUGACAAGUCAAUAUAUGAAUGUAAUUUGAAAACCUGUACUACAUUACAAUUUCCAACAGUUACAGAACUUAAAGAUUAUAACCAGAUGUCAAAGACAAGCUAUAAAUACCUUGUCUUUUUCUGUCAGAUGGACAUGUCGACGACUCCAAUGUGUCCCACGCACAUUUCCAGCCCAAACAUCAAAGCCAUGAUCAGCCAGGAUAAACCCCAAUGAUUGAUUUGGAGAGUUCAAGAACCAGGCAUCACCUGCCUGUUAUAUUUUUCAGUUGCUCAAUUGUUAAUAUACGAGACUGCUACCCAAUCCUUUCUUUAUAUUACAUUCACAAAAUGGAAGGGGGGGAGGCGGGGAGGACAAUUACAAUUUCUGUGAGUCUAGAUAAGGCUAAUCAUGCUUGUUAAAGAUCUUUGUAAUAAUAAAGUAGCAUUUCCUAUAGAUGCGAAAGCCAUUUUAGCUUAUAAUUUUAACCAAAACCAAGAUGCACGGACGAAAUAAUUUACAGCUUACACACUGAACUUUGACAUAGUAUUACUCUUACAGCUUGAAUAUGCACACAUUUAUGGAGGCACCAAAGCACUAAGAAUGCUCAAUUCCGAUAAGCAACAAAUCUAACUAAAGAAGAUAGUGAACUGAAAAAUAAACUUUUGUACCAUAAAACAGUUUUGGCUGCACAAAGUAGCAACCGUAAUGAUGAUUGGUAAAUAUCUUCCAUAGAAUUGGAAUUUGAAAGAACGAAUAGAGCUAAAUUCAAAUGUGGCCUCUCCACUAUGAUUUUUUUUUUUUUUCUAAAAAAAAUAAAAUAAAAUAGAAAUCAUGUAAACAAAUUAUUUUAGGAGAGAUUACCAUCAUUAGCCCGUGAAGGAGAAGAACUGGAGGACCGUAUUGCCCUCUGAGAUAUCUGGAGUUAGAUGCCACCCGCUGAAGUCCAAGCAAGUAACCAUCAUUUGUUUGUGCCUGGAUCAACAAUUCCACAUUCUUAAACUAAAUCACCUGCACGCUAUAUUUCAGAAAAAUCGUCUACAGCUUAGUCACGCCUUCAAUACGUAGGUAGACAAAAAAGUAAGAUCAAUGAUUAAUGAAAUUUAUUCAUGUGUACCACUGUACACAAAUACUAUAUUCAACAAAGAACGAUACGUAGAUAGAGAUAGAGAUUCUACGGUGUGCUCGGAGCAAGGAUAGCCAUAAGGUUGGAUGAGGUGAGCACAGAGACCAUCUGCCGGAGAAUUGGGAAGGCGAAUAUAUGAAACUCUGGCGGAUUCUCCGGCUGAACUGAGGAGUAAUACACUGAGCAACAAAACCGUCACCAGACGCUCCAUUUUCAGGCCACUGGAGUGCGGAAAACACAGCGGAACGACGGACCAACGGGCUGGGACCUCCCGGGAGAGGAGAGUGUGGAGUCUCACAAUGCUCCAGAAGAAAGAUGCGUUCGCAGGAAACCGAACGAGACAGUCAAGGACCUGAGAAGCUCCGCCCCUGUGUCGGUCAAGGACCUGCAUUUCUAAAAAAAUUCAACCCUUUCUGAAAAAUUUCUUGUUUGGGUCUCCUCGAAUCCUCCGUUCCCUUUACUGUACAGUAUACAGUAAGAAUAGACAUAGAAUCGCAUCUAAGUAUCUAACGUGAAAAAAAAAAAAAAAAACUUCUAAUACAAGAGUAAUAGCUAGUUUGGGAGGAUGGAAAUGAAAAGAAAAGAAGAGAAAUGAUAAGUUAGAAAAGAAAAGAAAGGAUCAAAGUUUCUAUCUAAAUUGUUUGGAAGUUUUAAAAAAGAAAAGAAAGUGAGUAGUUUUCUUUUGUUUGGGAGUUGAAUGUAAAAGAAAAGAAAAGAUACUUAAACAAAUUAUUUUACAAAUAUGCCCUUUCUAUAAACAAAUGUGAGAAGGAUUCAUCGGGUAUUAAAAUGUUUUGUAUCAGGAUUUUAAGGAUAAUUUGGUCAUAUUGAAAAAUUUACUUAAACUUCUGUCCGUUCCUUCCCUUUCCGCCCAACAUUGGGCGGAAAGUUUUCCAAAAGAUGAAGUGGAGUGGAAUCUUUCCUAUUCCUUUCUUUUCCUUCUCAUUUUAACUCCCAAACAAUGAAAAAACUUUUUUAUCCCUUCAAAACCUUUCUUUUCUUUUCAUUUCCAUCCUCCCAAACUAGCUAUAAGGGUAGAUAUAUAAUAGAAUCUAACGUGUUAAAAAAAAAAAAAGAAGAAAGAUAGAGUAUAAAGAGAGAGAUUCUCUUCUGUCCACUUGGUACCGACACAAACGCUCUCUUACAGCGCGUCCGGUAUACCUUUCUUUGCUCAAGAGCCAAGCAUAACGUCAGUUGAUGAAGCGGAUCUAGGAGUGGGCUAUAAAAGCUCACCUAUUUGGGCUAUAACAGUACAACAAUCAUGGGCUUGUCACUGGUCGAUAUUUAAAAAUCAGGCUAGUCCGCUGAGCUAAUUGUUUAAGAACUUUUAACAUUUCCGAUACUAAACUUUCGUAUUGUGGGCUCCAACAGAGAACGGGCUUGUCGUUGCAAGUGCCGUGGAAUCCAUUGCACUAAUUAGAGUGAAUAGGUAUCCCAAAUUCCGCUCAACCGGUCAAGAGUGACUUGCACGGUAAUCAUGAGAUUUUCGAUCUGUUUGGAGUUGCGACAGCUUAUUUAAAAAUACUACUCCUGUAAAGUUUUGAAUAAAAAUAUUUAUUAACUGCUAAGUGCUUUUAAAUUUAUUAUUUGGAGAGACACAGUUUAAUCAGUACUUAUUGUAUUAAAUAAUGUGUAAUUUAAAUUUUAAAAAAAAUAUCUAUCUCUUUAUUUGGUAUAACAUAUAAUUAAAUUUGAUGUUUUAUUUUUUAAAUCAUAAAAACUACUCUAAAAGCACUAAAUUUGAGCUUUUGUUAAAGUGCUUUUAACACCAAAAAUUCUACUCCUAAUUUUAUGGGAUGAUAUUCACCAAACAUUUUAAAAGUACUUUUUAACACAUAAAAGUGCUUUUUUCUUAUCAAAAGCACCGGAACCCAAACGGGGCCUUAGUAACUACCAAAUUUUCUGAAUGACUUCAAGAACCUAAUCAUGUCAUCAUACAAGUCUUCCUUUGAUCUUACACUCAGGAGGAAGUCUAUGUGACCGUAUUCCUCAAGAAAAAGCACCUCUGGCUGUCUUUUUAGUUCCUUCAGCGUGCGCUGCACAUCAGUAACGUCAGCUAAUGAAUCGUUACCCCCAUAAGCCAUCCACAAUGGUAAAGAAUUCGGAAUGCUGCUAACAUCAAAUGCUGGAGGCCAAAACCGUCCAUAGCGUAUCAGGUUCUUAAAGAUUCCAUAAUCAUACUUUCUGAAAGUACCUUCACGGAUCACUGGAAAAAAAACACAAUUCAAUGGGUAGGAACUAGGAGAGUAAGAGCGAAUGUAUGAGAAAAAAUGAGGAAAAAAGCUACACAGACUUAGCCUGAUAUAGCAAGUUUGAAUAACUUCAGCAAACCAAAAGGCCAAAGACAAUGAUAUCCUGCUAGUGCAUACUUUGAAAAAGAUGAUUCAGAUUCUUUGAGGAUGUAGGUUGUGGUUCAUAUUCGAGAUAGAAAUUGAUCCGGGAGUUGUUGAAGCAACAGUUCUUUCCUGAAAGGUUAAUCCACCAUUUAAUAAGAUACAGAUGGCAAUAUAAUAGUUUAACCAUUCUAAACACUCGAAUAAUUACUUCCCAACUUGCUCUACAGUGCUAGAUUGCUAGCAGAAAAGCAAAGCAGAAAAGUUUGUCAUGAAAGGAAUUUUUUUUUUAAAGGCCAAAUAACAGAACAUGAAUAAGGACCUGUAACCGGAGUAAGCAACUCAUUGCAAUUCACAUAUUCACUGCAUAAUAUGUCCAUCAUAUGGGUGCUGCAGUCACUGAAUAGAUAACAGAACAGAAAGGAUUAUAUAAACCGAAGAUAUGUGGAAACCUGACCGAAAGAAAGAGCCAAAAUUAAUAAGACCUUUUGAAAUUAAGUUCAUGAAUGCCCAUCACACAUAACACCUGCUUAGAGAAAAAUGACAACUUAAGCACACUGACAAAUAAGCCCUGAUGGGAAUGCUCAAAAAGAAACCACACAAACCUCAUCAAUAUGCAUUUUCACUAAUCUUAGGACAAAAGACGAACUUAUAUGAUCCAAAUAUGAGAUAGGAGAAAGAAGCGCAGCAGCUUCAACCAUUGAUACUAUAUGUGGUUGAGUAAAAGCAGCCAGAGACAUUAUUGUUCCCUGCAAAAUAAAGCAAAGGACAUCGAAUAUCAGAAAAACAAAAACCAACAACCAAAUGAAGAUAUAACAUAUAGUUCUCAAGAGAUUCAAGACCUGUGAAUGACCAACAAUAAAUAUUUUUGAGUUGGUGAUGUUAUAAAUAUAACGAGCCAUUCCUUCCAGAUCAUACAGAGCCAAUUCCUGCCAACUCCAAUCCCAAAAAUCCUAAAAACCAAGAGAAGAAACCAUUAAAGCAAGAGGGUUCAUAAAGCACAUCUAGUUUAUGCAAAAAGAAUAUUUUUGCUGCAUCCCAAAUCAGGACAAGACCAUGCAGAAGUAACUUGUGAAAUAAAUUCUACACAUAGAGGGGGGAUGGUGGUCCACCACUCCUGCUCUUCCGAGCAUUAACCAUUUGAUGGCUACGACUUCAAAGCAAUUCAUAUUUAUACCUUGCUUUUACCUGAGUAAUCAAAUCAUGACAAGUCAAUAUAUGAAUGUAAUUUGAAAACCUGUACUACAUUACAAUUUCCAACAGUUACAGAACUUAAAGAUUAUAACCAGAUGUCAAAGACAAGCUAUAAAUACCUUGUCUUUUUCUGUCAGAUGGACAUGUCGACGACUCCAAUGUGUCCCACGCACAUUUCCAGCCCAAACAUCAAAGCCAUGAUCAGCCAGGAUAAACCCCAAUGAUUGAUUUGGAGAGUUCAAGAACCAGGCAUCACCUGCCUGUUAUAUUUUUCAGUUGCUCAAUUGUUAAUAUACGAGACUGCUACCCAAUCCUUUCUUUAUAUUACAUUCACAAAAUGGAAGGGGGGGAGGCGGGGAGGACAAUUACAAUUUCUGUGAGUCUAGAUAAGGCUAAUCAUGCUUGUUAAAGAUCUUUGUAAUAAUAAAGUAGCAUUUCCUAUAGAUGCGAAAGCCAUUUUAGCUUAUAAUUUUAACCAAAACCAAGAUGCACGGACGAAAUAAUUUACAGCUUACACACUGAACUUUGACAUAGUAUUACUCUUACAGCUUGAAUAUGCACACAUUUAUGGAGGCACCAAAGCACUAAGAAUGCUCAAUUCCGAUAAGCAACAAAUCUAACUAAAGAAGAUAGUGAACUGAAAAAUAAACUUUUGUACCAUAAAACAGUUUUGGCUGCACAAAGUAGCAACCGUAAUGAUGAUUGGUAAAUAUCUUCCAUAGAAUUGGAAUUUGAAAGAACGAAUAGAGCUAAAUUCAAAUGUGGCCUCUCCACUAUGAUUUUUUUUUUUUUUCUAAAAAAAAUAAAAUAAAAUAGAAAUCAUGUAAACAAAUUAUUUUAGGAGAGAUUACCAUCAUUAGCCCGUGAAGGAGAAGAACUGGAGGACCGUAUUGCCCUCUGAGAUAUCUGGAGUUAGAUGCCACCCGCUGAAGUCCAAGCAAGUAACCAUCAUUUGUUUGUGCCUGGAUCAACAAUUCCACAUUCUUAAACUAAAUCACCUGCACGCUAUAUUUCAGAAAAAUCGUCUACAGCUUAGUCACGCCUUCAAUACGUAGGUAGACAAAAAAGUAAGAUCAAUGAUUAAUGAAAUUUAUUCAUGUGUACCACUGUACACAAAUACUAUAUUCAACAAAGAACGAUACGUAGAUAGAGAUAGAGAUUCUACGGUGUGCUCGGAGCAAGGAUAGCCAUAAGGUUGGAUGAGGUGAGCACAGAGACCAUCUGCCGGAGAAUUGGGAAGGCGAAUAUAUGAAACUCUGGCGGAUUCUCCGGCUGAACUGAGGAGUAAUACACUGAGCAACAAAACCGUCACCAGACGCUCCAUUUUCAGGCCACUGGAGUGCGGAAAACACAGCGGAACGACGGACCAACGGGCUGGGACCUCCCGGGAGAGGAGAGUGUGGAGUCUCACAAUGCUCCAGAAGAAAGAUGCGUUCGCAGGAAACCGAACGAGACAGUCAAGGACCUGAGAAGCUCCGCCCCUGUGUCGGUCAAGGACCUGCAUUUCUAAAAAAAUUCAACCCUUUCUGAAAAAUUUCUUGUUUGGGUCUCCUCGAAUCCUCCGUUCCCUUUACUGUACAGUAUACAGUAAGAAUAGACAUAGAAUCGCAUCUAAGUAUCUAACGUGAAAAAAAAAAAAAAAAACUUCUAAUACAAGAGUAAUAGCUAGUUUGGGAGGAUGGAAAUGAAAAGAAAAGAAGAGAAAUGAUAAGUUAGAAAAGAAAAGAAAGGAUCAAAGUUUCUAUCUAAAUUGUUUGGAAGUUUUAAAAAAGAAAAGAAAGUGAGUAGUUUUCUUUUGUUUGGGAGUUGAAUGUAAAAGAAAAGAAAAGAUACUUAAACAAAUUAUUUUACAAAUAUGCCCUUUCUAUAAACAAAUGUGAGAAGGAUUCAUCGGGUAUUAAAAUGUUUUGUAUCAGGAUUUUAAGGAUAAUUUGGUCAUAUUGAAAAAUUUACUUAAACUUCUGUCCGUUCCUUCCCUUUCCGCCCAACAUUGGGCGGAAAGUUUUCCAAAAGAUGAAGUGGAGUGGAAUCUUUCCUAUUCCUUUCUUUUCCUUCUCAUUUUAACUCCCAAACAAUGAAAAAACUUUUUUAUCCCUUCAAAACCUUUCUUUUCUUUUCAUUUCCAUCCUCCCAAACUAGCUAUAAGGGUAGAUAUAUAAUAGAAUCUAACGUGUUAAAAAAAAAAAAAGAAGAAAGAUAGAGUAUAAAGAGAGAGAUUCUCUUCUGUCCACUUGGUACCGACACAAACGCUCUCUUACAGCGCGUCCGGUAUACCUUUCUUUGCUCAAGAGCCAAGCAUAACGUCAGUUGAUGAAGCGGAUCUAGGAGUGGGCUAUAAAAGCUCACCUAUUUGGGCUAUAACAGUACAACAAUCAUGGGCUUGUCACUGGUCGAUAUUUAAAAAUCAGGCUAGUCCGCUGAGCUAAUUGUUUAAGAACUUUUAACAUUUCCGAUACUAAACUUUCGUAUUGUGGGCUCCAACAGAGAACGGGCUUGUCGUUGCAAGUGCCGUGGAAUCCAUUGCACUAAUUAGAGUGAAUAGGUAUCCCAAAUUCCGCUCAACCGGUCAAGAGUGACUUGCACGGUAAUCAUGAGAUUUUCGAUCUGUUUGGAGUUGCGACAGCUUAUUUAAAAAUACUACUCCUGUAAAGUUUUGAAUAAAAAUAUUUAUUAACUGCUAAGUGCUUUUAAAUUUAUUAUUUGGAGAGACACAGUUUAAUCAGUACUUAUUGUAUUAAAUAAUGUGUAAUUUAAAUUUUAAAAAAAAUAUCUAUCUCUUUAUUUGGUAUAACAUAUAAUUAAAUUUGAUGUUUUAUUUUUUAAAUCAUAAAAACUACUCUAAAAGCACUAAAUUUGAGCUUUUGUUAAAGUGCUUUUAACACCAAAAAUUCUACUCCUAAUUUUAUGGGAUGAUAUUCACCAAACAUUUUAAAAGUACUUUUUAACACAUAAAAGUGCUUUUUUCUUAUCAAAAGCACCGGAACCCAAACGGGGCCUUAGUAACUACCAAAUUUUCUGAAUGACUUCAAGAACCUAAUCAUGUCAUCAUACAAGUCUUCCUUUGAUCUUACACUCAGGAGGAAGUCUAUGUGACCGUAUUCCUCAAGAAAAAGCACCUCUGGCUGGCUUUUUAGUUCCUUCA
This 9473-nucleotide long non-coding RNA is filed under the name Coffea arabica (coffee). RNAcentral describes it as "long non-coding RNA (CARA_LNC001038)". Lineage: Eukaryota; Viridiplantae; Streptophyta; Magnoliopsida; Gentianales; Rubiaceae. The record is from RNAcentral.